Molecule: ribosomal RNA, 468 nt
Filed under: uncultured bacterium
Lineage: Bacteria
Description: partial 16S ribosomal RNA
Rfam family: Bacterial small subunit ribosomal RNA
Source: RNAcentral
GACGAACGCUGGCGGCGUGCUUAACACAUGCAAGUCGAACGGAAAGGCCCUGCUUUUGUGGGGUGCUCGAGUGGCGAACGGGUGAGUAACACGUGAGUAACCUGCCCUUGACUUUGGGAUAACUUCAGGAAACUGGGGCUAAUACCGGAUAGGAGCUCCUGCUGCAUGGUGGGGGUUGGAAAGUUUCGGCGGUUGGGGAUGGACUCGCGGCUUAUCAGCUUGUUGGUGGGGUAGUGGCUUACCAAGGCUUUGACGGGUAGCCGGCCUGAGAGGGUGACCGGCGACAUUGGGACUGAGAUACGGACCAGACUCCUACGGGAGGCAGCAGUGGGGAAUAUUGCACAAUGGGCGGAAGCCUGAUGCAGCAACGCCGCGUGCGGGAUGACGGCCUUCGGGUUGUAAACCGAUUUCGCCUGUGACGAAGCGUGAGUGACGGUAAUGGGUAAAGAAGCACCGGCUAACUACGUG